CAGCAGCCGCGGUAAUACAGAGGGUGCGAGCGUUAAUCGGAUUUACUGGGCGUAAAGCGUGCGUAGGCGGAUUCUUAAGUCGGAUGUGAAAUCCCUGAGCUUAACUUAGGAAUUGCAUUCGAUACUGGGAAGCUAGAGUAUGGGAGAGGAUGGUAGAAUUCCAGGUGUAGCGGUGAAAUGCGUAGAGAUCUGGAGGAAUACCGAUGGCGAAGGCAGCCAUCUGGCCUAAUACUGACGCUGAGGUACGAAAGCAUGGGGAGCAAACAGGAUUAGAUACCCCCGUAGUCCCUGUCUCUUAUAC
Molecule: ribosomal RNA, 301 nt
Filed under: uncultured bacterium
Lineage: Bacteria
Description: partial 16S ribosomal RNA
Rfam family: Bacterial small subunit ribosomal RNA
Source: RNAcentral